AGGAUUAUGCCUGAACCCAAAGGACUAUUUUGAUAGAAUAGAACACUAACCAUCCUU
RNAcentral lists this transfer RNA (57 nucleotides) under Paraleius leontonychus. RNAcentral describes it as "tRNA-Ile(gat)". Lineage: Eukaryota; Metazoa; Arthropoda; Arachnida; Sarcoptiformes; Scheloribatidae. The record is from RNAcentral.